Erinaceus europaeus (western European hedgehog) is the source of this 131-nucleotide non-coding RNA. The record is from Rfam. NCBI's taxonomy places the organism in Eukaryota, Metazoa, Chordata, Mammalia, Eulipotyphla, Erinaceidae.
UGCUCCCCCCCUCCGCCGCCGCCCCUCCUCUUCACCCCCUUUCUUCAGCUGCUGUUAUUACGUGGAGUUUGGAGCCUGAAGCUUGAAAACUCCCAUGUGGCGCCUGACUUGAGUGCGGAGCAUGCUCAGUA